AUCGUAUAGCAAAGAUGAGUUGAACGAAGUACGAUCAGAAUGGGUAAUGCUGGUCACUCAGUUGAUACUCUCUUCUGUUUGAAGGCUUUGAAGACACUUUUUUGUAUGGAAAUAGAUCAUACUUUUGCCCAAUCCAACUAUCACUUUUGUUGAGGCAUCCAAAGGGAAACUUUUUGAAGCUGAAAGUUGGAAGUUUUUCCAAGUUUCUAAUAGUUCAUGAGCUACUGCCACAAAAAAGAAUGUUCUUGUUGGUUCAAAAGGGAACAUGAAGAUUUCUAAUUUUGGCCAUGGUGUUAUACCACAACAUUGUAAG
Vitis vinifera (wine grape) is the source of this 313-nucleotide long non-coding RNA. RefSeq lists it as uncharacterized. The transcript has 3 exons. NCBI's taxonomy places the organism in Eukaryota, Viridiplantae, Streptophyta, Magnoliopsida, Vitales, Vitaceae. The record is from RefSeq and is a predicted model, not a curated record.